Anguilla anguilla (European eel) is the source of this 1314-nucleotide long non-coding RNA. RefSeq lists it as uncharacterized. The record is from RefSeq and is a predicted model, not a curated record. The transcript has 5 exons. NCBI's taxonomy places the organism in Eukaryota, Metazoa, Chordata, Actinopteri, Anguilliformes, Anguillidae.
CUGUCCAGAGUGUAUUCCUGCCUCUCGCCCAAUGCAUGCUUGGAUAGGCUCCAGCACCACCUCCUGCUCAGGAUAAGCGGGUAUAGAUAAUGGAUGGAUUGAUGGAUGUAUUGGAAUAGCCAAAGCCUCAGAUCUUAGCAACAGUUUGUGUUGUAAUCUGGAAUCAUUUUUGUAAACAUAGUAGUUAUGUUUAUUUUAUAAGUGUAAUAUGCAAAAAUGAAUAUAAUUAUUGACACCUGAAUUUCAAUACAGUGGGGGCAAAGAAAUGAAAAUUACCCAGUCUUUUUGAAAAGGCACUACUGGUCCAGUCCAGACACAAAGCAAACGACUGUUUAUUUUCUUCAGACAAUUUUAUCUGAUAAAAUCUAAAACAUGUAUCACCUUCAGGAAGUGAGUCAGAUCUCUAACACAUUCUACUUUUAUAUUUAGUGUGAAGCAUUUUAUUUACAAUCAUAUUCAGCCACACUGCUCUGUCUGCAAGGCUGUUUAAUACUAAUGGCACAUUAGCAAACAACUGAGGCCAGAUCAGAAUUCUCUCCUGUGUAAAUAAUAAUCAAGACCUGUAUAUGUGUAUUUGGAUAAAUAUUUUCAAUCUGAUGCAGCCAUGCUCUUCAAUACCUUGUUGGUAAUCAUCCUCUCCGUGUCAGGUGCUCUGAGCGAGGAGGGAUGGGGAGUGACUUACACCCCUGAGAGAAUCUGUGCCUUAAAGGAGUCUUCAAUAGACAUGAGCUGCACUUACUCACAUCCCACAUCUCACAGAGUGCAGAAAACAUUCUGGUUUAUUCACUGGAACAAGCCACAGGAGCCUGAGGACCUGUCCCAGGACCCAGAGUACUCUCACCGUGUGGAGUACCUGGGGAAUCAGAACAGUGACUGCACUUUUAGAAUAAACCAACUGAGUUAAACUGAUUCAGGAACAUACCGAUUCCGGUUCCUCACUGACCUUGAUCCAUAUACUGGAGAACCUGGUGUCGUUUUGGAAGUCACUGGUCUACAGGUGAUGGUGAACCCUGGCACAGUUGCAGAGGGACAGAGUGUGAUACUGACCUGCUGGACCACCUGCACUCUGACUGGCAGCCCAGCCUUCAUCUGGUACAGGGACGGAUCUCCUCUGUCCUUCACUGAUCAGAGUCACCAGUUCAGAGCCAGCAGUGAAGAUGCAGGCAGAUACUCCUGUGCUGUAAAAGGCUAUGAGCUUCAUUCCCCUGCAGUGGCUCUUAAUGUGAGAUAUCCUGGAACAGUGGACAGUACUACUGUGAGGCACAGAACAGUCUUGGAGCUCAGAAUGCUACUGCUCUACAGGUCACAGUGCAA